CCUACGGGUGGCAGCAGUGAGGAAUAUUGGUCAAUGGACGAGAGUCUGAACCAGCCAAGUAGCGUGAAGGAUGACUGCCCCAUGGGUUGUAAACUUCUUUUAUAUGGGAAUAAAACGUUCCACGUGUGGGAUUUUGUAUGUACCAUAUGAAUAAGGAUCGGCUAACUCCGUGCCAGCAGCCGCGGUAAUACGGAGGAUCCGAGCGUUAUCCGGAUUUAUUGGGUUUAAAGGGAGCGUAGGUGGAUUGUUAGGUCAGUUGUGAAAGUUUGCGGCUCAACCGUAAAAUUGCAGUUGAAACUGGCAGUCUUGAGUACAGUAGAGGUGGGCGGAAUUCGUGGUGUAGCGGUGAAAUGCUUAGAUAUCACGAAGAACUCCGAUUGCGAAGGCAGUUCACUGGACUGCAACUGACACUGAGGCUCGAAAGUGUGGGUAUCAAACAGGAUUAGAUACCCGAGUAGUC
Molecule: ribosomal RNA, 460 nt
Filed under: uncultured bacterium
Lineage: Bacteria
Description: partial 16S ribosomal RNA
Rfam family: Bacterial small subunit ribosomal RNA
Source: RNAcentral